GGGCCCGCACAAGCAGCGGAGCAUGUGGUUUAAUUCGAAGCAACGCGAAGAACCUUACCAGGUCUUGACAUCCAGUGAAUCCAUAAGAGAUUAUGGAGGAUACCGAAAGGUAUACACUGAGACAGGUGGUGCAUGGUUGUCGUCAGCUCGUGUCGUGAGAUGUUGGGUUAAGUCCCGCAACGAGCGCAACCCUUGUAAUUAGUUACGGCAGUAAGAUGAGGACUCUAAUUAGACUGCCGUGGAGAACACGGAGGAAGGUGGGGAUGACGUCAAAUCAUCAUGCCCUAUAUGACCUGGGCUACACACGUGCUACAAUGGCUGAAACAAAGGGGAGCGAAUCCGUAAGGAGGAGCGAAUCGUAAAAAACAGUCCCAGUUCGGAUUGAGGGCUGCAACCCGCCCUCAUGAAGCCGGAGUUGCUAGUAAUCGCGAAUCAGCAUGUCGCGGUGAAUACGUUCCCGGGCCUU
Molecule: ribosomal RNA, 466 nt
Filed under: uncultured bacterium
Lineage: Bacteria
Description: bacterial SSU rRNA
Rfam family: Bacterial small subunit ribosomal RNA
Source: RNAcentral